This 319-nucleotide ribosomal RNA is filed under the name uncultured bacterium. RNAcentral's name for it is "bacterial SSU rRNA". It matches the Rfam family "Bacterial small subunit ribosomal RNA", at positions 508 to 824 of the family's 1533-position model. The record is from RNAcentral.
UCAGCAGCCGCGGUAAUACGUAGAGUGCAAGCGUUGUCCGGAAUCUAUUGGGCGUAAAGGGUACGCAGGCGGAUAUACAAGUCAAAUGUGAAAGGUGUAGGCUUAACCUACAGACUGCGUUUGAAACUGUAUAUCUUGAGAGCAGCAGAGGAAGGCGGAAUUCCUGGUGUAGUGGUGAAAUACGUAGAUAUCAGGAAGAACACCAGUGGCGAAGGCGGUCUUCUGGGCUGCAUCUGACGCUCAUGUACGAAAGCUGGGGUAGCGAACGGGAUUAGAUACCCCGGUAGUCCCAGCUGUAAACGAUGGUCACHWAGGUGUU